GACGAACGCUGGCGGCGUGCCUAAUACAUGCAAGUUGAGCGCUGAAGGUUGGUACUUGUACCGACUGGAUGAGCAGCGGACGGGUGAGUAACGCGUGGGGAAUCUGCCUUUGAGCGGGGGACAACAUUUGGAAACGAAUGCUAAUACCGCAUAAAAACUUUAAACACAAGUUUUAAGUUUGAAAGAUGCAAUUGCAUCACUCAAAGAUGAUCCCGCGUUGUAUUAGCUAGUUGGUGAGGUAAAGGCUCACCAAGGCGAUGAUACAUAGCCGACCUGAGAGGGUGAUCGGCCACAUUGGGACUGCGACACGGCCCAAACUCCUACGGGAGGCAGCAGUAGGGAAUCUUCGGCAAUGGACGAAAGUCUGACCGAGCAACGCCGCGUGAGUGAAGAAGGUUUUCGGAUCGUAAAACUCUGUUGGUAGAGAAGAACGUUGGUGAGAGUGGAAAGCUCAUCAAGUGACGGUAACUACCCAGAAAGGGACGGCUAACUACGUG
Molecule: ribosomal RNA, 497 nt
Filed under: uncultured bacterium
Lineage: Bacteria
Description: partial 16S ribosomal RNA
Rfam family: Bacterial small subunit ribosomal RNA
Source: RNAcentral